CCUACGGGUGGCAGCAGUGAGGAAUAUUGGUCAAUGGACGAGAGUCUGAACCAGCCAAGUAGCGUGAAGGAUGACUGCCCUAUGGGUUGUAAACUUCUUUUAUAAAGGAAUAAAACGAGGCACGUGUGCCUUUUUGCAUGUACUUUAUGAAUAAGGAUCGGCUAACUCCGUGCCAGCAACCGCGGUAAUAAGGAGGAUCCGAGCGUUAUCCGGAUUUAUUUGGUUUAAAGGGAGCGUAGAUGGGUUGGUACGGCAGUUGUGAAAGUUUGCGGCUCAACCGUAAAAUUGCAGUUGAGACUGGCAGUCUUGAGUACAGUUGAGGUAGGCGGAAUGCGUGGUGUAGCGGUGAAAUGCUUAGAUAUCACGAAGAACUCCGAUUGCGAAGGCAGCUUACUAAACUGUGACUGACAUUGAUGCUCGAAAGUGUGGGUAUCAAACAGGAUUAGAUACCCUGGUAGUC
RNAcentral lists this ribosomal RNA (460 nucleotides) under uncultured bacterium. RNAcentral's name for it is "partial 16S ribosomal RNA". It matches the Rfam family "Bacterial small subunit ribosomal RNA", at positions 338 to 795 of the family's 1533-position model. The record is from RNAcentral.